AGAGUUUGAUCCUGGCUCAGGACGAACGCUGGCGGCGUGCCUAAACACAUGCAAGUCGCACGGGACUGGGGGCAACUCCAGUUCAGUGGCAGAUGGGUGCGUAACACGUGAGGAACUUGUCCGACGGCGGGGGAUAGCCGGCCCAACGGCCGGGUAAUACCGCGUACGCUCAUUUGGGGACAUCCCUGGGUGAGGAAAGCAGCCGCAAGGUUGCGCCGAUGGAGAGCCUCGCGGCGUAUCAGCUAGUUGGCGGGGUAACGGCCCACCAAGGCUACGACGCGUAGCUGGUCUGAGAGGAUGGCCAGCCACAUUGGGACUGAGACACGGCCCAGACUCCUACGGGAGGCAGCAGUGGGGAAUAUUGCGCAAUGGCCGAAAGGCUGACGCAGCGACGCCGCGUGUGGGAUGACGGCCCUCGGGUUGUAAACCACUGUCGGGGGGGACGAAUACAGGGCCUCGAAUAGAGGACCCUGGGUGACGGUACCUCCAAAGGAAGCACCGGCUAACUCCGUGCCAGCAGCCGCGGUAAUACGGAGGGUGCGAGCGUUGUCCGGAAUCACUGGGCGUAAAGGGCGCGUAGGCGGUUCGUUAAGUUGCUGGUGAAAUCCCGGGGCUCAACUCCGGGGCUGCCGGCAAGACUGGCGGGCUAGAGCACGGUAGAGGCGGAUGGAAUUCCCGGUGUAGCGGUGGAAUGCGUAGAUAUCGGGAAGAAUACCGGUGGCGAAGGCGUUCCGCUGGGCCGUUGCUGACGCUGAGGCGCGACAGCGUGGGGAGCAAACAGGAUUAGAUACCCCAGUAGUCC
Molecule: ribosomal RNA, 802 nt
Filed under: uncultured bacterium
Lineage: Bacteria
Description: bacterial SSU rRNA
Rfam family: Bacterial small subunit ribosomal RNA
Source: RNAcentral